RNAcentral lists this ribosomal RNA (500 nucleotides) under uncultured bacterium. RNAcentral describes it as "bacterial SSU rRNA". It matches the Rfam family "Bacterial small subunit ribosomal RNA", at positions 28 to 520 of the family's 1533-position model. The record is from RNAcentral.
GAUGAACGCUAGCGGCAGGCUUAAUACAUGCAAGUCGUGGGGCAGCAGGUUUGUAGCAAUACAGAUGCUGGCGACCGGCAAACGGGUGCGGAACACGUACAGAACCUUCCUUUGAGCGGGGAAUAGCCCAGAGAAAUUUGGAUUAAUACCCCAUAGUAUAAUGAAGUGGCAUCACUUUAUUAUUAAAGAUUUAUCACUCGAAGAUGGCUGUGCGGCUGAUUAGGUAGUUGGCGGGGUAAAGGCCCACCAAGCCUGCGAUCAGUAACUGGUGUGAGAGCACGACCAGUCACACGGGCACUGAGACACGGGCCCGACUCCUACGGGAGGCAGCAGUAAGGAAUAUUGGUCAAUGGAGGCAACUCUGAACCAGCCAUGCCGCGUGGAGGAUGAAGGUCCUCUGGAUUGUAAACUUCUUUAUAUGGACGAAAAAAGGCUUUUCUAAGUCGUCUGACGGUACCAUAUGAAUAAGCACCGGCUAACUCCGUGCCAGCAGCCGACGG